UACGGGGGGGGUAAGCGUUGUUCGGAAUUACUGGGCGUAAAGGGCUCGUAGGCGGCCAACUAAGUCAGACGUGAAAUCCCUCAGCUUAACUGGGGAACUGCGUCUGAUACUGGAUGGCUUGGAUUCGGGAGAGGAAUGCGGAAUUCCAGGUGUAGCGGUGAAAUGUGUAGAUAUCUGGAGGAACACCGGUGGCGAAGGCGGCAUUCUGGACCGAUAUUGACGCUGAGGAGCGAAAGCCAGGGGAGCAAACGGG
RNAcentral lists this ribosomal RNA (253 nucleotides) under uncultured bacterium. RNAcentral describes it as "partial 16S ribosomal RNA". It matches the Rfam family "Bacterial small subunit ribosomal RNA", at positions 524 to 776 of the family's 1533-position model. The record is from RNAcentral.